RNAcentral lists this ribosomal RNA (769 nucleotides) under uncultured bacterium. RNAcentral's name for it is "bacterial SSU rRNA". It matches the Rfam family "Bacterial small subunit ribosomal RNA", at positions 28 to 776 of the family's 1533-position model. The record is from RNAcentral.
AUUGAACGCUGGCGGCAGGCCUAACACAUGCAAGUCGAGCGGCAGCGACUUAACUGAACCUUCGGGGAACAUUAAGGGCGGCGAGCGGCGGACGGGUGAGUAAUGCCUGGGAAUAUGCCCUGAUGUGGGGGAUAACUAUUGGAAACGAUAGCUAAUACCGCAUAAUCUCUUCGGAGCAAAGAGGGGGACCUUCGGGCCUCUCGCAUCAGGAUUAGCCCAGGUGGGAUUAGCUUGUUGGUGAGGUAAUGGCUCACCAAGGCAACGAUCCCUAGCUGGUCUGAGAGGAUGAUCAGCCACACUGGAACUGAGACACGGUCCAGACUCCUACGGGAGGCAGCAGUGGGGAAUAUUGCACAAUGGGGGAAACCCUGAUGCAGCCAUGCCGCGUGUGUGAAGAAGGCCUUCGGGUUGUAAAGCACUUUCAGUAGGGAGGAAGGUAGUGUAGUUAACACCUGCACUAUUUGACGUUACCUACAGAAGAAGCACCGGCUAACUCCGUGCCAGCAGCCGCGGUAAUACGGAGGGUGCGAGCGUUAAUCGGAAUUACUGGGCGUAAAGCGCAUGCAGGCGGCCUGUUAAGUCAGAUGUGAAAGCCCGGGGCUUAACCUCGGAAUUGCAUUUGAAACUGGCAGGCUAGAGUCUUGUAGAGGGGGGUAGAAUUUCAGGUGUAGCGGUGAAAUGCGUAGAGAUCUGAAGGAAUACCAGUGGCGAAGGCGGCCCCCUGGACAAAGACUGACGCUCAGAUGCGAAAGCGUGGGGAGCAAACAGG